Long non-coding RNA from Poecilia latipinna (sailfin molly), 194 nucleotides. RefSeq lists it as uncharacterized. NCBI's taxonomy places the organism in Eukaryota, Metazoa, Chordata, Actinopteri, Cyprinodontiformes, Poeciliidae. The transcript has 3 exons. The record is from RefSeq and is a predicted model, not a curated record.
UUAUACCAAAUGAACAAGAAGCGUCGCUUUGCUACUGAAGUUGCGCCAGGUGGAACCAUCUCUCAAGGGUAAAACGGUUUCCUCGUCGUACCAGCGUACCAAGAUAAAAACCCAAGGGAAAAGUGAGCUGUCCUCUGCACAGGCGGCACAGAGCGAGACAGGAGCAGGGAGGGAAGGAGGGACGAGGAAGAAGG